RNAcentral lists this ribosomal RNA (890 nucleotides) under Colletotrichum theobromicola. RNAcentral's name for it is "LSU rRNA". It matches the Rfam family "Eukaryotic large subunit ribosomal RNA", at positions 38 to 959 of the family's 3401-position model. The record is from RNAcentral. Lineage: Eukaryota; Fungi; Ascomycota; Sordariomycetes; Glomerellales; Glomerellaceae.
GCAUAUCAAUAAGCGGAGGAAAAGAAACCAACAGGGAUUGCCUCAGUAACGGCGAGUGAAGCGGCAACAGCUCAAAUUUGAAAUCUGGCCCUAGGCCCGAGUUGUAAUUUGCAGAGGAUGCUUUUGGUGCGGUGCCUUCCAAGUUCCCUAGAACGGGACGCCAGAGAGGGUGAGAGCCCCGUACAGUUGGACACCAAGCCUUUGUAAAGCUCCUUCGACGAGUCGAGUAGUUUGGGAAUGCUGCUCAAAAUGGGAGGUAUAUUUCUUCUAAAGCUAAAUACCGGCCAGAGACCGAUAGCGCACAAGUAGAGUGAUCGAAAGAUGAAAAGCACUUUGAAAAGAGGGUUAAACAGCACGUGAAAUUGUUAAAAGGGAAGCGCUUGUGACCAGACUUGCGUCCGGUGAAUCACCCAGCUCUCGCGGCUGGGGCACUUCGCCGGCUCAGGCCAGCAUCAGCUCGCUGUCGGGGACAAAAGCUUCGGGAACGUAGCUCUCUUCGGGGAGUGUUAUAGCCUGUUGCACAAUACCCUUCGGCGGGCUGAGGUACGCGCUCCGCAAGGAUGCUGGCAUAAUGGUCAUCAGCGACCCGUCUUGAAACACGGACCAAGGAGUCAACCUUAUGUGCGAGUGUUCGGGUGUCAAACCCCUACGCGUAAUGAAAGUGAACGCAGGUGAGAGCUUCGGCGCAUCAUCGACCGAUCCUGAUGUUCUCGGAUGGAUUUGAGUAAGAGCAUAUAGGGUUGGACCCGAAAGAAGGUGAACUAUGCGUGUAUAGGGUGAAGCCAGAGGAAACUCUGGUGGAGGCUCGCAGCGGUUCUGACGUGCAAAUCGAUCGUCAAAUAUGCGCAUGGGGGCGAAAGACUAAUUGAACCUUCUAGUAGCUGGUUCGC